RNAcentral lists this ribosomal RNA (258 nucleotides) under uncultured bacterium. RNAcentral describes it as "partial 16S ribosomal RNA". It matches the Rfam family "Bacterial small subunit ribosomal RNA", at positions 99 to 353 of the family's 1533-position model. The record is from RNAcentral.
CGAACGGGUGAGUAACGCGUGAGUAACCUGCCCUGGAGUGGGGGACAACAGUUGGAAACGACUGCUAAUACCGCAUAAGCCCACGGAUCCGCAUGGAUCUGCGGGAAAAGGAUUUAUUCGCUUCAGGAUGGACUCGCGUCCAAUUAGCUAGUUGGUGAGGUAACGGCCCACCAAGGCGACGAUUGGUAGCCGGACUGAGAGGUUGAACGGCCACAUUGGGACUGAGACACAGCCCAGACUCCUACGGGAGGCAGCAUG